UGAGGUUCUGGUUAGGUCCAAUGAUUAACAUGACCACUCUCAGAAAUCUAACUAAGAUCAGGCCUGACUUUGAUCAACCAACCUAACCACCCAUCAGAGAGACUCGACUGAGCUAUCAUAUUAUGAAUGAUAAUUUCAAUAGCCGAUAAGCACCAGACCUUUGAAUCUUUAAUAAUUAUCAAACUAAUAGACCCAUUAUCACCCAACUUAAUUGGAGGCUAUGAUCUAGUUAUCACCAUAACUAUUUCAUUUUUAGGACCUAAUAAUUUAGAGAAUUUGGUUAACAUAAUUUUAGAGAAA
This 300-nucleotide long non-coding RNA is filed under the name Elaeis guineensis (African oil palm). Its description in RNAcentral is "long non-coding RNA (EGUI_LNC057924)". The record is from RNAcentral. Lineage: Eukaryota; Viridiplantae; Streptophyta; Magnoliopsida; Arecales; Arecaceae.